RNAcentral lists this ribosomal RNA (2856 nucleotides) under human metagenome. Its description in RNAcentral is "bacterial LSU rRNA". It matches the Rfam family "Bacterial large subunit ribosomal RNA". The record is from RNAcentral.
UCAAGUAAUGAAGUGCACAUGGUGGAUGCCUUGGCAGUCAGAGGCGAUGAAAGACGUGAUAGCCUGCGAUAAGCGUCGGUGAGGUGGCAAUAUCCUGUGACCCGGCGAUUUCUGAAUGGGGAAACCCAACCAACACAAGUUGGUUAUUACACAGUUUACUGUGUAAGGCAAACCGGGAGAAGUGAAACAUCUCAGUACCCCGAGGAAAAGACAUCAAAUGAGAUUCCGUAAGUAGCGGCGAGCGAACACGGAGGAGCCGAUCAAUUUUACAGUAGCAAAAUGGCGUGGGAAAGCCAACCAUAGUAGGUGAUAGUCCUGUAUGCGAAACUGUUUAAGCGACAUAUUAAGUAGGGCGGAACACGAGAAAUUCUGUCUGAAGAUGGGGGGACCAUCCUCCAAGGCUAAAUACUCCUGACUGACCGAUAGUGAACCAGUACCGUGAGGGAAAGGCGAAAAGAACCCCUGUUAGGGGAGUGAAAUAGAACCUGAAACCGUGUGCAUACAAGCAGUCGGAGCGGACUUGUUCCGUGACGGCGUACCUUUUGUAUAAUGGGUCAGCGACUUAUAUUCUGUAGCAAGGUUAACCGAAUAGGGGAGCCGUAGGGAAACCGAGUCUUAAUAGGGCGAAUGAGUUGCAGGGUAUAGACCCGAAACCGAGUGAUCUAUCCAUGAGCAGGUUGAAAGUGCCGUAACAGGCACCGGAGGACCGAACCCACUGUCGUUGAAAAGCCAGGGGAUGACUUGUGGAUAGGGGUGAAAGGCUAAUCAAACUCGGUGAUAGCUGGUUCUCCCCGAAAGCUAUUUAGGUAGCGCCUCGGACGAACACCAUUGGGGGUAGAGCACUGUUUCGGCUAGGGGGUCAUCCCGACUUACCAAACCGAUGCAAACUCCGAAUACCGAUGAGUGAUAUCCGGGAGACAGACGGCGGGUGCUAACGUCCGUCGUCAAGAGGGAAACAACCCAGACCGCCAGCUAAGGCCCCAAAUUCCUAGUUAAGUGGGAAACGAUGUGGGAAGGCACAGACAGCUAGGAGGUUGGCUUAGAAGCAGCCACCCUUUAAAGAAAGCGUAAUAGCUCACUAGUCGAGUCGGCCUGCGCGGAAGAUGUAACGGGGCUCAAACUAGGAGCCGAAGCUGCGGAUUUAAUUGUUUCAAUUAAGUGGUAGGGGAGCGUUGUGUAAGCCUGUGAAGGUGCACUGUAAGGUGUGCUGGAGGUAUCACAAGAGCGAAUGCUGACGUGAGUAACGACAAAACGGGUGAAAAGCCCGUUCGCCGGAAGACCAAGGGUUCCAGUCCAACGUUAAUCGGGGCUGGGUGAGUCGACCCCUAAGGCGAGGCCGAAAGGCGUAGUCGAUGGGAAAUCGGUUAAUAUUCCGAUACUUGUUUAUGAUGCGAUGGAGGGACGGAGAAGGUUAUGCCAGCCUGGCGAUGGUUGUCCAGGUGGAAGGAUGUAGUUAGACUGAGUAGGCAAAUCCGCUCGGUUAUUAAUGAGAUCUGAUAGCAAGCCAGUUUACUGGCGAAGUGGCAAAUACCCUGCUUCCAGGAAAAGCUUCUAAGCGAUAGUCAUAAACGAAUCGUACCCGAAACCGACACAGGUGGUCAGGUAGAGAAUACCAAGGCGCUUGAGAGAACUCUGCUGAAGGAACUAGGCAAAAUGGUACCGUAACUUCGGGAGAAGGUACGCUGCCGAUGGUGAUGAAACUUGCUUUCUGAGCUGUUGGCAGUCGCAGAUACCAGGCUGCUGCAACUGUUUAUUAAAAACACAGCACUCUGCAAACACGAAAGUGGACGUAUAGGGUGUGAUGCCUGCCCGGUGCUGGAAGGUUAAUUGAUGGGGUUAGCGUAAGCGAAGCUCUUGAUCGAAGCCCCAGUAAACGGCGGCCGUAACUAUAACGGUCCUAAGGUAGCGAAAUUCCUUGUCGGGUAAGUUCCGACCUGCACGAAUGGCAUAAUGAUGGCAGCGCUGUCUCCAGCAGAGACUCAGUGAAAUCGAAAUCGCAGUGAAGAUGCUGUGUACCCGCGGCUAGACGGAAAGACCCCGUGAACCUUUACUACAGCUUUACAUUGAACUUUGACCUAACUUGUGUAGGAUAGGUGGGAGGCUUUGAAGCAGAUACGCCAGUAUUUGUGGAGCCAACCUUGAAAUACCACCCUGGUUAUGUUGGGGUUCUAACUUAGGAUUAACAAAUCCAAGGACAAUGUAUGGUGGGUAGUUUGACUGGGGCGGUCUCCUCCUAAAGAGUAACGGAGGAGUACGAAGGUGCGCUCAGAACGGUCGGAAAUCGUUCAAAGAGUAUAAAGGCAAAAGCGCGCUUAACUGCGAGACCCACAAGUCGAGCAGGUACGAAAGUAGGUCUUAGUGAUCCGGUGGUUCUGUAUGGAAGGGCCAUCGCUCAACGGAUAAAAGGUACUCUGGGGAUAACAGGCUGAUACCGCCCAAGAGUUCAUAUCGACGGCGGUGUUUGGCACCUCGAUGUCGGCUCAUCUCAUCCUGGGGCUGAAGCAGGUCCCAAGGGUAUGGCUGUUCGCCAUUUAAAGAGGUACGCGAGCUGGGUUUAGAACGUCGUGAGACAGUUCGGUCCCUAUCUACCGUGGGCGUUGGAAAUUUGAGAGGAUCUGCUCCUAGUACGAGAGGACCAGAGUGGACGAACCUCUGGUGUUUCGGUUGUCACGCCAGUGGCAUUGCCGAGUAGCUACGUUCGGAUGGGAUAACCGCUGAAAGCAUCUAAGCGGGAAGCCCACCUCAAGAUAAGAUUUCCCUAAGAGCCGUUGUAGACUACGACGUUGAUAGGUUGGGUGUGGAAGUGUAGUGAUACAUGUAGCUAACCAAUACUAAUUGCUCGUUUGGCUUGACCAU